AUGGGUCUUGAUUCUAGAACCGUGCCGACAUGGUUUGUCUACCCUAUGCUUAUACAAAUCAUGGGAACUGAAUAUUUUGUCACUAUAUCAGCUUUGUCAAAUGGCAGAAGUUUCCACCUUAAUGAACACAAAGCUUAUGAGAUUUUAGGAAAUGCAUAUCUCACUGUCGCAAGGCAUCUUGGUUUGUUCUUACAGAUAAGCCCCUACUUGGAGGAUGACAUGCUUGGGAUUGAGCCGCUCAAGUUAUGCUUUCCUUUUGAGCUCAACAGUCAGAUAUCAUGCUCACUUAAGCUAACCAAUGAGACAUAUGAUUUUAUUGCAUUCAUCAUCAAAACCACAAGCCCCCUGCAAUACUGUAUACAACCAAAUAAAGGCUUUGUGGCUCCACGAUCGAAGUUUGGUGUCAACAUAACAAUGCAACCACUAGACAAGGCACCAGAAGACAACUACACUGGUGAUUUUAUUGUGCGGAGCACCAUAGUGAAUGAGAAUCUUGAGGACAUAACUGAAGAUUUAUUUAGAAGAGAGGAGGGUAAAUUGGUGGAUGAGGUGAAACUGACGAUUGCAUAUAAGGCCGAGGAACCCCAAGUGGAUGUGCCACUUGGGUCGCCUAUAAUUUCAGACACAAGAAUUUUGCACGGUCCACAUGUAUCCACAGUGCUGUCAACUGAGGCAGAAUCCAAGAUAAGUGCAUCUACCUCAGAUGAGGUGAUCCAGAUUGAUCCCCCCGAUCUCUGCUUUCCCUUAGUGCCAGAUAAAAAGGUGUUAUCCUCAGUUAAAAUAAUCAACAUUACAGAUCUGUAUGUCAGUAUAGCCUUGACUUUAGUGCCGGAAGAAAACUCCAAAAUGUACUCCGUAACCAGUUCCUUAUUGGUCAUGCCACCACGGUCCACACAAUGGCUCAGACUAACAAGAAAAGAAAAGGAAGAUGCAGUAAAAGACGUGCAGUUCAAUGACGAAGUCUUUGUGUGGUACACAAUGGUGGCCGAAGAUAUCAAAGUCUCCGACCUUGACUUGGGGGAUUACAAGGAAUAUAAGAAGUUGCCUGUCGUUCUAACGAAGGCUAUGCCUUCAACAAGGAAUUAUCGCACAUGCGCCGAUGAUGGCGAGUCGAACACAAGGUUGAACUCCGGAUUCGCAUCCCCAAAGCCAAGUUCCAAUCCACCAUAUUCAGCAUGA
This 1179-nucleotide ribosomal RNA is filed under the name Triticum aestivum (bread wheat). Its description in RNAcentral is "partial small subunit ribosomal RNA". Lineage: Eukaryota; Viridiplantae; Streptophyta; Magnoliopsida; Poales; Poaceae. The record is from RNAcentral.